AGAGAUGGAGUAAAACAUUGAUCCCAAACUCCAGAACUUUUAAGUGAACUUGAAGCUGGCUUGAGUACUGCUCUCAGAAGAUCAGAUCCUAAUUACACAGGAACAAAAUUCUGGUGAAGAUGAUGUGCGAGCUAUACUUACACCAACAGAUGAAUUUCAGUUCUGGAUAGAAUGUGCUCGUCAUGGAAGUAAAUGGUGUAGUAAAGAGAGAGCUUCAUAUUUUAAAGACCUAUUUGAAGACAUUGCAAAAGAUUAUUACAACUUGGAUACUCUAUCAUUAUUUGAAGCUGUGGAUUUGGUGGAGAGUACCAAGGAUACUGUUGAUGUGUGUGGAGACAAACAGAGCAUGAUCCUUAUCCACAGUCACGCAUGCAUAAUCUCUGGAUGUAAUAGGUGGCUCACUAGGUAGAUAUGUUCAGAGAAAAUUAGCAGCUUGAAUUUGUGGGAGGAUGCUUUUCACAGUGUUAAAGAAAAUAUAAAGGCUGGCAUCUUGAUUUGUGAGCAGUGGGUAUCAGCUUGUGAAUACUUAACUGGACAGCUGUGGCA
Chiroxiphia lanceolata (lance-tailed manakin) is the source of this 546-nucleotide long non-coding RNA. RefSeq lists it as uncharacterized. The record is from RefSeq and is a predicted model, not a curated record. NCBI's taxonomy places the organism in Eukaryota, Metazoa, Chordata, Aves, Passeriformes, Pipridae. The transcript is spliced from 4 exons.